RNAcentral lists this ribosomal RNA (253 nucleotides) under uncultured bacterium. Its description in RNAcentral is "partial 16S ribosomal RNA". It matches the Rfam family "Bacterial small subunit ribosomal RNA", at positions 524 to 776 of the family's 1533-position model. The record is from RNAcentral.
UACGAGAGGCCCAAACGUUAUUCGGAAUUACUGGGCUUAAAGAGUUCGUAGGCGGCAUGACAAGUAGGGUGUGAAAUCCCACGGCUCACCCGUGGAACUGCCCGGCAUACUGCGAUGCUAGAGUGUGGUAGGGGAGAGCGGAACUCCUGGUGGAGCGGUGAAAUGCGUAGAUAUCAGGAGGAACACCGGUGGCGAAGGCGGCUCUCUGGUCCACAACUGACGCUGAGGUGCGAAAGCUAGGGGAGCAAACGGG